AGAAUCAACGCUGGCGGCGUGCCUAACACAUGCAAGUCGAACGCGAAAGUCCCGAAAGGGAUAAGUAGAGUGGCAAACGGGUGAGUAACACGUGGGUGACCUGCCUUCGAGCGGGGGAUAACGUCCCGAAAGGGACGCUAAUACCGCAUAACAUCCUGCCUUUUAAGAGGUGGAGAUCAAAGCCGGGGACCGCAAGGCCUGGCACUUGAAGAGGGGCCCGCGUCUGAUUAGCUAGUUGGUGGGGUAAUGGCCUACCAAGGCAACGAUCAGUAUCCGGCCUGAGAGGGCGGACGGACACACUGGGACUGAGACACGGCCCAGACUCCUACGGGAGGCAGCAGUGGGGAAUUGUUCGCAAUGGGCGCAAGCCUGACGACGCAACGCCGCGUGGAGGAUGAAGACCUUCGGGUCGUAAACUCCUUUCGAUCGAGACGAAUGUUUCCGGUGAACAAUCCGGGAAGUGACGGUACCGAGAGAAGAAGCCCGGCUAACUCUGCGCCAGCAGCCGCGGU
RNAcentral lists this ribosomal RNA (512 nucleotides) under uncultured bacterium. RNAcentral's name for it is "SSU rRNA". It matches the Rfam family "Bacterial small subunit ribosomal RNA", at positions 26 to 521 of the family's 1533-position model. The record is from RNAcentral.